UAAUGGGGGCUGUAUGCCUGAAGUGGCC
This 28-nucleotide small RNA is filed under the name Bombyx mori (domestic silkworm). RNAcentral's name for it is "ovarian small RNA-5859". Lineage: Eukaryota; Metazoa; Arthropoda; Insecta; Lepidoptera; Bombycidae. The record is from RNAcentral.